GGGGAUUUAGCUCAGUGGUAAAGCGCUUGCCUAGCAAGCACAAGGCCCUGGGUUCGGUCCCCAGCUCCCCA
Molecule: transfer RNA, 71 nt
Filed under: Rattus norvegicus (Norway rat)
Lineage: Eukaryota; Metazoa; Chordata; Mammalia; Rodentia; Muridae
Rfam family: tRNA
About the family: Transfer RNA (tRNA) molecules are approximately 80 nucleotides in length.
Source: Rfam by way of RNAcentral